This is a long non-coding RNA of Telopea speciosissima, 219 nucleotides long. RefSeq lists it as uncharacterized. NCBI's taxonomy places the organism in Eukaryota, Viridiplantae, Streptophyta, Magnoliopsida, Proteales, Proteaceae. The record is from RefSeq and is a predicted model, not a curated record. The transcript has 3 exons.
UAUUAGUUUGUAAGGGGCUCCAGCAUUGUACACACACUUUGAUUAAUGAGAAGCUUUGCCUUUGCUGCCUGUCGUGAUAUGCUCUUCCUUGUGUGAAUCAAGGUGUGAUUGGUGGUGAAUCCAGUCAACACCUUGCGAUGGAAAGCCAAGGUGGCAUUGUUCUUUACUUGUUAUUCAUUAAGGUACCAUUCUGAUUUUCAGAUUCUCUCUGAUUUUAAU